Molecule: ribosomal RNA, 253 nt
Filed under: uncultured bacterium
Lineage: Bacteria
Description: partial 16S ribosomal RNA
Rfam family: Bacterial small subunit ribosomal RNA
Source: RNAcentral
UACGGAGGGUGCAAGCGUUAAUCGGAAUUACUGGGCGUAAAGCGCACGCAGGCGGUUUGUUAAGUCAGAUGUGAAAUCCCCGAGCUUAACUUGGGAACUGCAUUUGAAACUGGCAAGCUAGAGUCUUGUAGAGGGGGGUAGAAUUCCAGGUGUAGCGGUGAAAUGCGUAGAGAUCGGGAGGAACACCUGUGGCGAAGGCGGCCGGCUGGGGGUACCCUGACGCUGAGGCGCGACAGCGUGGGGAGCGAACAGG